This 2527-nucleotide ribosomal RNA is filed under the name Escherichia coli. Its description in RNAcentral is "partial 23S ribosomal RNA". It matches the Rfam family "Bacterial large subunit ribosomal RNA", at positions 418 to 2925 of the family's 2925-position model. The record is from RNAcentral. Lineage: Bacteria; Pseudomonadati; Pseudomonadota; Gammaproteobacteria; Enterobacterales; Enterobacteriaceae.
CGGGACACGUGGUAUCCUGUCUGAAUAUGGGGGGACCAUCCUCCAAGGCUAAAUACUCCUGACUGACCGAUAGUGAACCAGUACCGUGAGGGAAAGGCGAAAAGAACCCCGGCGAGGGGAGUGAAAAAGAACCUGAAACCGUGUACGUACAAGCAGUGGGAGCACGCUUAGGCGUGUGACUGCGUACCUUUUGUAUAAUGGGUCAGCGACUUAUAUUCUGUAGCAAGGUUAACCGAAUAGGGGAGCCGAAGGGAAACCGAGUCUUAACUGGGCGUUAAGUUGCAGGGUAUAGACCCGAAACCCGGUGAUCUAGCCAUGGGCAGGUUGAAGGUUGGGUAACACUAACUGGAGGACCGAACCGACUAAUGUUGAAAAAUUAGCGGAUGACUUGUGGCUGGGGGUGAAAGGCCAAUCAAACCGGGAGAUAGCUGGUUCUCCCCGAAAGCUAUUUAGGUAGCGCCUCGUGAAUUCAUCUCCGGGGGUAGAGCACUGUUUCGGCAAGGGGGUCAUCCCGACUUACCAACCCGAUGCAAACUGCGAAUACCGGAGAAUGUUAUCACGGGAGACACACGGCGGGUGCUAACGUCCGUCGUGAAGAGGGAAACAACCCAGACCGCCAGCUAAGGUCCCAAAGUCAUGGUUAAGUGGGAAACGAUGUGGGAAGGCCCAGACAGCCAGGAUGUUGGCUUAGAAGCAGCCAUCAUUUAAAGAAAGCGUAAUAGCUCACUGGUCGAGUCGGCCUGCGCGGAAGAUGUAACGGGGCUAAACCAUGCACCGAAGCUGCGGCAGCGACGCUGAUGCGUUGUUGGGUAGGGGAGCGUUCUGUAAGCCUGUGAAGGUGUGCUGUGAGGCAUGCUGGAGGUAUCAGAAGUGCGAAUGCUGACAUAAGUAACGAUAAAGCGGGUGAAAAGCCCGCUCGCCGGAAGACCAAGGGUUCCUGUCCAACGUUAAUCGGGGCAGGGUGAGUCGACCCCUAAGGCGAGGCCGAAAGGCGUAGUCGAUGGGAAACAGGUUAAUAUUCCUGUACUUGGUGUUACUGCGAAGGGGGGACGGAGAAGGCUAUGUUGGCCGGGCGACGGUUGUCCCGGUUUAAGCGUGUAGGCUGGUUUUCCAGGCAAAUCCGGAAAAUCAAGGCUGAGGCGUGAUGACGAGGCACUACGGUGCUGAAGCAACAAAUGCCCUGCUUCCAGGAAAAGCCUCUAAGCAUCAGGUAACAUCAAAUCGUACCCCAAACCGACACAGGUGGUCAGGUAGAGAAUACCAAGGCGCUUGAGAGAACUCGGGUGAAGGAACUAGGCAAAAUGGUGCCGUAACUUCGGGAGAAGGCACGCUGAUAUGUAGGUGAAGUCCCUCGCGGAUGGAGCUGAAAUCAGUCGAAGAUACCAGCUGGCUGCAACUGUUUAUUAAAAACACAGCACUGUGCAAACACGAAAGUGGACGUAUACGGUGUGACGCCUGCCCGGUGCCGGAAGGUUAAUUGAUGGGGUCAGCGCAAGCGAAGCUCUUGAUCGAAGCCCCGGUAAACGGCGGCCGUAACUAUAACGGUCCUAAGGUAGCGAAAUUCCUUGUCGGGUAAGUUCCGACCUGCACGAAUGGCGUAAUGAUGGCCAGGCUGUCUCCACCCGAGACUCAGUGAAAUUGAACUCGCUGUGAAGAUGCAGUGUACCCGCGGCAAGACGGAAAGACCCCGUGAACCUUUACUAUAGCUUGACACUGAACAUUGAGCCUUGAUGUGUAGGAUAGGUGGGAGGCUUUGAAGUGUGGACGCCAGUCUGCAUGGAGCCGGCCUUGAAAUACCACCCUUUAAUGUUUGAUGUUCUAACGUUGACCCGUGAUCCGGGUUGCGGACAGUGUCUGGUGGGUAGUUUGACUGGGGCGGUCUCCUCCUAAAGAGUAACGGAGGAGCACGAAGGUUGGCUAAUCCUGGUCGGACAUCAGGAGGUUAGUGCAAUGGCAUAAGCCAGCUUGACUGCGAGCGUGACGGCGCGAGCAGGUGCGAAAGCAGGUCAUAGUGAUCCGGUGGUUCUGAAUGGAAGGGCCAUCGCUCAACGGAUAAAAGGUACUCCGGGGAUAACAGGCUGAUACCGCCCAAGAGUUCAUAUCGACGGCGGUGUUUGGCACCUCGAUGUCGGCUCAUCACAUCCUGGGGCUGAAGUAGGUCCCAAGGGUAUGGCUGUUCGCCAUUUAAAGUGGUACGCGAGCUGGGUUUAGAACGUCGUGAGACAGUUCGGUCCCUAUCUGCCGUGGGCGCUGGAGAACUGAGGGGGGCUGCUCCUAGUACGAGAGGACCGGAGUGGACGCAUCACUGGUGUUCGGGUUGUCAUGCCAAUGGCACUGCCCGGUAGCUAAAUGCGGAAGAGAUAAGUGCUGAAAGCAUCUAAGCACGAAACUUGCCCCGAGAUGAGUUCUCCCUGACUCCUUGAGAGUCCUGAAGGAACGUUGAAGACGACGACGUUGAUAGGCCGGGUGUGUAAGCGCAGCGAUGCGUUGAGCUAACCGGUACUAAUGAACCGUGAGGCUUAACCUU